GCGCCCGUAGCUCAAUUGGAUAGAGCGUUGGCCUCCGGAGCCAAAGGCUACUGGUUCAAAUCCAGUCGGGCGCA
RNAcentral lists this transfer RNA (74 nucleotides) under Verrucomicrobia bacterium LW23. It matches the Rfam family "tRNA". From Rfam's summary of the family: Transfer RNA (tRNA) molecules are approximately 80 nucleotides in length. Their secondary structure includes four short double-helical elements and three loops (D, anti-codon, and T loops). The record is from Rfam by way of RNAcentral. Lineage: Bacteria; Pseudomonadati; Verrucomicrobiota.